This is a long non-coding RNA of Drosophila santomea, 520 nucleotides long. RefSeq lists it as uncharacterized. The transcript is spliced from 2 exons. NCBI's taxonomy places the organism in Eukaryota, Metazoa, Arthropoda, Insecta, Diptera, Drosophilidae. The record is from RefSeq and is a predicted model, not a curated record.
UCAACCUGUAACUCAAUCAAUGGUCAAUGCGGUUAAAUUGCGGCGCACAAAGGGGACUUUAAGGGCUCGAUUCGACUCCACUCAUUAUUGAUUCACAAUGCACACACCCAAACACAAACACACUCUUUUUGUUUUCCCAAUUAGGAUGGCAGUGGAAUUCCAACCGCUCCAACCACCGAUAUCACCUCAUUAUUGCUGCUAAAUCCAUGCGCAGACACAACGACUUCCGUUCUGGCUAGAAUGAAAUUUAUAAUGACAGCAAACAGCAAACAAACAAACAACCAAACAAACAAACAAAUCAUGCUCCCAAAUCCUGUACCCUGCGUACAAUUAUGGCUAAAAGUUGAACGAUACAACUAAAAUGUAAUCAGCCAGGACCUCCACAACGUGCAUACAUAGCCAUGUCUGUGUCUUUGUUCCCGCCUUUGUUGGCCACUCGCCCUUAAUGCUUUUUUAGUAAAUAAUUUAUAUUCAAUUUUCAAAUAAAUUGCCAACAAAAAUAGUUAGCAAACAAAGUGAG